This 350-nucleotide long non-coding RNA is filed under the name Ananas comosus (pineapple). RNAcentral describes it as "long non-coding RNA (ACOM_LNC036548)". Lineage: Eukaryota; Viridiplantae; Streptophyta; Magnoliopsida; Poales; Bromeliaceae. The record is from RNAcentral.
UUAGGGUUCUACCAUACAUGUCCAUUAUGGUUCCAUCAUUCUCUAUGUUCAACUACGUUAGAAGCAUGUAAAUGCAAACAAACUAAGGUUCACAUGUAAUUUAACCCUACUAUGCAUGAAUGACUAUACAUCAAUAUGCUCAACAAAAAGGUGAAAUAGACAUAAAGGGAAAUUCGAUGAUUCCGGUGUGCACCCCCCACCUUGAGUGGUAGUAGAUGAAGAAUAUGAUGACUCCCGAACUUUACGAACGCCGAAUCCGCGUCCUAUAACCAAAAUAGUGCCAAAUUAGGCCCUAUAUACACAAACUAUACUUAGACAUUUUCGUAACGUCGAACGGAGUUAUCCAACGC